CGUAAACGAUGAGUGCUAAGUGUUGGAGGUUUCCCCUUCAGUGCUGCAGCUAACGCAUUAAGCACUCCGCCUGGGGAGUACGACCGCAAGGUUGAAACUCAAAGGAAUUGACGGGGGCCCGCACAAGCGGUGGAGCAUGUGGUUUAAUUCGAAGCAACGCGAAGAACCUUACCAGGUCUUGACAUCCUUUGACCACUCUAGAGAUAGAGCUUUCCCUUCGGGGACAAAGUGACAGGUGGUGCAUGGUUGUCGUCAGCUCGUGUCGUGAGAUGUUGGGUUAAGUCCCGCAACGAGCGCAACCCUUAUUGUUAGUUGCCAUCAUUCAGUUGGGCACUCUAGAGAGACUGCCGGUGACAAACCGGAGGAAGGUGGGGAUGACGUCAAAUCAUCAUGCCCCUUAUGACCUGGGCUACACACGUGCUACAAUGGGAAGUACAACGAGUCGCUAGGCCGCGAGGUCAUGCAAAUCUCUUAAAGCUUCUCUCAGUUCGGAUUGCAGGCUGCAACUCGCCUGCAUGAAGCCGGAAUCGCUAGUAAUCGCGGAUCAGCACGCCGCGGUGAAUACGUUCCCGGGCCUUGUACACACCGCCCGUCACACCACGAAAGUUUGUAACACCCGAAGUCGGUGAGGUAACCUUUUGGAGCCAGCCGCCUAAGGUGGGAUAGAUGAUUGGGGUGAAGUCGUAACAAGGUAACCAAGGGCGAAUUCCAG
This 712-nucleotide ribosomal RNA is filed under the name uncultured Enterococcus sp. Its description in RNAcentral is "bacterial SSU rRNA". It matches the Rfam family "Bacterial small subunit ribosomal RNA", at positions 801 to 1516 of the family's 1533-position model. The record is from RNAcentral. Lineage: Bacteria; Bacillati; Bacillota; Bacilli; Lactobacillales; Enterococcaceae.